AGAAACUGAAAGCUGGAAUGUAACUUGAAAAUAAUCCUUUCCAAAACCACAUUUAAUAGUUCCUCAGGGACAAAGGAGUAUCAUACACUGGGGAAGAAGGAAAGCGCACUGCCAAGUCUGCCUUCCAGUCUCUUCUCUAUGUAUCUAGAUAAUAGUACUUUCGAAGGCAGGACCCUGUCUCCACGUUUUCCUCAAAGUGACUAUGACUCUGCAACUCAGAGUUGCUCAGCUGCUGUUGCUGUUGGAUCACUGGAAGGUCUGGCUGGUCAUGUAUACACUGAGCAAGAAAAGUUCUUCAACAUUACAGGGAAGUUAACGUAUGGGCAAGUUAACUGUAGCUUAGAAAACAAGCAUAAUGUAGAAAUAAACAAGACAAUGGCAUGCAAGGACCAGAAAAUACAUGAUUUUCUUUUUUCAGUCUUUCUUGGGCUAUUUUCAAGAUUCUGCUAAGCAUUGGGUUCCACUCUUUUUUGCUAAGGAGAGGUAAGAACCUGGAAAGGG
This is a long non-coding RNA of Equus caballus (horse), 501 nucleotides long. NCBI's taxonomy places the organism in Eukaryota, Metazoa, Chordata, Mammalia, Perissodactyla, Equidae. The record is from Ensembl.